UUUCGCAAUGCCCGAAAGGGUGACGAAGCGACGCCGCGUGAGUGAGGAAGGCCUUCGGGUUGUAAAGCUCUGUCAGGAGUUAAGAAAUAUAAGUGUGCUAAUACCACAUUUAUUUGACGAAGGCUCCAAAGGAAGCCACGGCUAACUCUGUGCCAGCAGCCGCGGUAAUACAGAGGUGGCAAGCGUUGUUCGGAAUUAUUGGGCGUAAAGAGCACGUAGGUGGGUUUGUAAGUCAGAUGUGAAAGCCUUCUGUUCAACGGAAGAAUUGCAUCUGAAACUGCGAGUCUUGAGCGUAGGAGGGGAGAAUGGAACUUCUGGUGGAGCGGUGAAAUGCGUAGAUAUCAGAAGGAACGCCGGCGGCGAAAGCGAUUCUCUGGCCUAUUACUGACACUCAGUGUGCGAAAGCUAGGGGAGCAAACGGGAUUAGAUACCCCGGUAGUCCUAGCCGUAAACGAUGGGCACUAAGUAGAGGGGUUUU
RNAcentral lists this ribosomal RNA (478 nucleotides) under uncultured Planctomycetales bacterium. RNAcentral's name for it is "bacterial SSU rRNA". It matches the Rfam family "Bacterial small subunit ribosomal RNA", at positions 364 to 832 of the family's 1533-position model. Lineage: Bacteria; Pseudomonadati; Planctomycetota; Planctomycetia; Planctomycetales. The record is from RNAcentral.